Molecule: long non-coding RNA, 2523 nt
Filed under: Pan troglodytes (chimpanzee)
Lineage: Eukaryota; Metazoa; Chordata; Mammalia; Primates; Hominidae
Description: long non-coding RNA NONPTRT015219
Source: RNAcentral
CGUAUAAUAGAAAGGUCUCUCCACAAAACCCGGGGAAGAUAGAUUAAAGGUGCGUAGGAGGAUCUAGAGACAAAGAGAACAUUCAGGGUUACUGAAUGUACAGAAAAGGAUGAUGGUUCUUGAACAAGUGAGUAAGGAUUUGGGAGAUAUUUAGGAAGCAGAUUCACAAUACUGAGCUUUCAUUAGAGAGAGGGUAGAGGCAAUGGAAGAAUGUAAUAUGACUCACAGCAAUCUAGUCUGGUUGUGCCAGUCAUGGACAACAGCAGUAUAGGUGCAGUGGCUUUGGGGGAAAGAAUGAAUUAUAGUUUAGAGAUGCUUGGAAGUCACUAAUGUGUAAACGUAUAAAAGACAAGUGUAUAUAUAGGUCUGGAACUAAAAAUAAGUCUUGGCUGGAGAUAAAUAAUUGAGGAUUAUUUGCAUUUUCAUGGAGAGCAGACCAUGAAACAUUUACCAGUCCACACUGCAUGUGAUCCAAUCUUGGCCAUGGACCCUGGGCACAGUCUGCAUGGUUUCUCCUGGAGGGGGGCGGGUGUCCCCUUUGAUAAGAGAUACAAGAAGAGAUCCCACUACCAGUCUUUCUGCCUUUGGACUACAUUGAAUGAGGAAGUGAUGCCUUGGGAUGAAAGCUAACAUGAUCCAGAAUUCACCCUGCUGUUUCUCCAUGAGUCUGACCUGCAUCAACUGCCUCCCUUAUUCUGGGAUUCCAGUUGUGGAGCUCAAGGACAAGUCCAUUCUGGGCUGGCUGUAUCCAACUUCUUUAGUCCAACUAUAUCCCCACUGGAAGCCAGGCUCUUUCCAACAGCUGUCACCCAUGCCUCUUUCUAUGUUUGUUAUCUGUCUCUAGGUUCUGGUAACUACUUCCUUCCCUUGCCCCUUCUGGCCUAGGGUGCUACAAAUCCCUCCUCCAAAUCCAACUGUCACUAGCCUCAAAGUACUUGUAGCUUCCUCACCUUACUUUCACCUUAAUAAAUAGUCCCCCUACUAUCUCUCUUCAAAGCACCCAAUUUGAGUGUGCCAUCUGUUUCUUGCCAGGAUCCUGGUUGGUACAUCAACCAAGCUGCACAGAUGGAGGAGCACUGUGCUGAACUUUAGGAAUGAAGCCACAGGGCCCUCACUGCCCCCAUAGUCACGUUGGUCAUCUUCUGCCUCCCUGAAAGACUAAAUUCACUCAGUUCAGAUACAUACACAUCCAGACAUGUCAGGGAAAACUCCAUUUUGUAAGGAUCUCUGCUUAAAAUGCCAAAGGUUUGAAAGUUGGCAAACACUUGAGAAAAGCACAGUUCUCUGUCUUACUCUUACUCUAAACUUGGAGAUAUAUGCAUUUUUAAAAUUGUUCAUGUUAGAAUGCUAACGUGUACAAGAUCGUGCCUGGUGAGACACCACAAACAAUAUUUUAUGAGGCCAAAAUAAGAAAGAAGGAAAUGAAAUAGCUCAGGAAUCUCAGGAAGAGCUCAUCAAACACUUUGCCUUUAUCUCAGACCAUUUUAUCCACAGCCCUGCUAAUCAGGAUUGUAUAUACCUCCAUGAGGGAGUCUUAAACGGAGGGAAAGAGAUGCCACAACUAAAGAAAAGAAUGCAAUAGAAGUUUGUCUUGAUGCCUGUUCUGUGAUGCACAACUUUCGUAAGCCAAAAUUUUAACCUUAUGAACAAUCAGUUCUGUGCUGCCCUUAGCAGAGAACCAUAAAUUAAAGAUAAGCAAUGGUUCAGACUUUCCAGGGCCUUGACUCAGGAGUAACUCUGAAAUCCCAACCAAAUAUGUAUUUGGUUAAGCAAUUUGGCACAUUUUUCUAUUUUGAGGCAUUAAACUAUAAUUACAAGUCACUUUUAUUUCAUUCCAAAUAAAUCUCCCUAAAGUAGAUAGAACUAGAGGUUUCCUUUUUUAAAAAAAAGGAAACAGGAAAACAACAAACAAAACCAAAAAGAACAAAAGCAAAACAAAACUUAGUCAAGCUAACAAAUUGCAUGUAUGAUGUGUUUUAUAAUUUGAUCAAUAUGAAAAAUAGAGUGUGCUAGUGCCUCAGGAGGACUCAGAGGACUCAAAUACUCAAUAGGUUAUCUGGAGGAAUUUCUCAUUGGAGAAAAAAAUUAAAGUUCUUUUGAACAACCCACAUAAUCAAGAUAGUAAUAAUUUAACCUCAAGUUUUUCCUUGAUUAAAAAAUCCCUUUGCUAUUCUGCUCCAGUGUUUGUAAUAGAUGGUUCAACAAGACUGGUGUUUUGUUAGUUGGAAAAGUAAGCUGAUAUGAGGGGUGGGGAGAGGAAGGGCAGAAAUUUAUUAACAAUCAGCAAGUAAAGAAAAACAGCCUGCAAAUUGUAAUGAAAGGAAGAAAGGACAGGAAAGGAAAGGUAGGGCUGGUGGAGAGUGACUGUUCUGCCUGCUUACUGCACAGGCCAAGAACAAACUCACGAUAAAUACUCCAGGUCCUCAAGAAAAAGGUUUCUGUGCUGAAUUAUGGUAGUCUACCUGAAAUUGGGAUGAUGAAUUAGAAAACCUCUCUCAUCGCUUCAAGUCUUGUGAUUUAUUC